Molecule: non-coding RNA, 79 nt
Filed under: Manganibacter manganicus
Lineage: Bacteria; Pseudomonadati; Pseudomonadota; Alphaproteobacteria; Hyphomicrobiales; Phyllobacteriaceae
Source: RNAcentral
GCCAGCAUUCGUGGUGAUUUGGCCGGUCGGCUUGCAGCCACGUUAAACAACUCGCUAAACAGGCCGAUGAAGACAGACU